AUUCGCCGUGCAUAUAUUUUUGUGCAUGGCGCUUGAGAGGGCAUCACGUGACUAAAAACGACCAACCAACGACCUCGCUUCGGCCAUCUUGGCAUCUUCAUCUUGGCCACGGAUCGUUGUUUAGUUGUUUGUAUUAUUUGUGCUUUUUAAGAAUAUUUUUUUAAUUCGGAUACUUUUAUAAUAGCUUUAAUAGUAUUAUUAACAUAGUGAAUAAAAUGGUGUCCUGUUUUUAACGCAGUUGGAGUAGCAGAAACAAAUGUAGAUAAAAAAAUCUGCAGGAAUAACGUUUCAAUUAUGACAGAAGCUCCAAACAAAUGACUGUGAAUGAAAAGCCCUAUUAAAAGCUUUCCAGAAGAUCCUGCGAAGAAGACAUGAAGUAUAGAUCAGAUUUGUUAAUAGAGGAGUAUGUUCAAAACACUUUUUAGAAAAGAUAUUGACAGAACUUCACUUUCAUCUGUUCGUUUAAGAGACUGUGCUGUUCCAAUAGCUUAUGUCACACAGAAUCAGCUGAGAGAAGUGGUCUACAAAAAACCAGAAAGGAAACGGAAUAUGUGGCUACGAAAAGCAAAAGAAAGGUUUACAAAGCAAAUGUGACACAUUUUUUUAUAAUAUUUAGGAAUGUCAGUAAAUUACAUUAAAAAAUG
RNAcentral lists this long non-coding RNA (644 nucleotides) under Diabrotica virgifera virgifera (western corn rootworm). RNAcentral's name for it is "uncharacterized LOC126880196". Lineage: Eukaryota; Metazoa; Arthropoda; Insecta; Coleoptera; Chrysomelidae. The record is from RNAcentral.